Non-coding RNA from Danio rerio (zebrafish), 1855 nucleotides. NCBI's taxonomy places the organism in Eukaryota, Metazoa, Chordata, Actinopteri, Cypriniformes, Danionidae. The record is from RefSeq and is a predicted model, not a curated record.
AAAAAAGCUUGUUCAAACAACCUCUUUUUUCUGUUAUUAACUUGUUUUAAGUCAUUCAACCCAUUUGAAUUUGUAAAAACAAAAGUUAACAAUCAAUUUGUGUUGGAACCACAAAGGAAUUGUGUGGAGCCCAGCAUGUUUUCAGUGUAUACUUGGUAAAGUGCAAGGCAAAUGAUAUGCAAGUGUUCUCAGCAAACUAAACAUUACUGAAUGUUUUCAGAAUACUACUGUAGGUUAUGCUAUAGGCUAUGUCAGCUUCUAAUUUAAUUAUUAACUCACAAAGUGAACUAAGCUAAAUCCAUCCAAUAUAGGGGUUAGUGAAUGAGUGAACGAUUUCGGACACAGUUUGAAACUCACGUGACUCUUUGUUUCUGCGCGAACCUGGAUUUGUUUGACACGUCGCGGCAGGCGAUUCAAUUCAGGUGUUAAAAACGCGACGAAAAUAUGCCUCUUUCUUGAACCACGCUUUGACUGACUCGAACCCCAUCAUCGUGGUCGACUCCUUUCUGGGUCUCAAGUCCACGUAGGUACAUGGCGAGCUACUGGACAAACUGGUAACAGUGAGAAAGCCAUCCAUAUGAAGAAAGAGGAAUGAGAUCUCAAGGGAGGAUAUGUUUGGUGAAUUAUAAAGGCUCCUCUAACAUGUCAUCUCCUCACUGGCUGCCGACCAGGCAAAGCCAACUGGAAGCAACAGAUAAGAGGCCAGAAAUAUGUCAGAAGGAUUUCCACCGAGAGAAAGGAGAGCGAGCGUGAAAAAAAUGGAGCGAGGGAGAGAAGAACAGAGAGAUAUGAAGGAGUAAAGAGGUGCAGUUAGAGUUUGAGGGAGUCAAACAGGCAGGACACAAAGGUAAAAUCAAUGUCCCCUUUAAGCCAUAAUCGAUAGUCUUCACUGCGUAAAACACAAGAAGGAGAAAAGGAAAUCAGUGCUUUAGUGUUCGCCAUUCAUUACCAAUCAGUCUCACACACGCACAUACAAACACAGCACCCUCUGCCAAUAUUGGCACGCUUGGUAAAUAUGAGGAAAGAAGGCUGUGAAUAACAUGUCUUUUAUUGUUUAAUCAAAAUAAUUACCAGAAAUGAUCUAACACAACACUAUUUUUACCAAAAACGGAAUAUAUUCUGGAUUCAUAGUCAUGUACAACCUGGAAAAGUCCUAAAAUUUUGACAUGACAUUUUCCAGACCUGGAUAAACAGAAAAAAACACACAAAGUUUUGGAAAAGUCAUGGAAAUUAGUUUAACAAUUACUUUAUUUGUAUACUUGAAUAUAGGUUAGUUGUCUUUACUUGUUUUCUGACAUGCUCUCACAUUUAGGGUUGUCACAAUACUAGAAUUCGACACCAAUCGGUUUUGCAAUUUUUAAAACUUCCAUUUCCCGCGAACAUUUGAGCGCAUGCUUAAACAUCGCUGAUUUUCCAUUGUGUUUACCCCUAUGACUGUGAUGGUCAGCGGUGAAGGUCAUCGGUUCUCCGAACUCACCGCUGUUUACUGAGUGUAACCACAGAUACAGGGUUACUGGAGCCUUUCAAAGUCAUUUCAAUCAGCUGGUUUGUCAAUAAGCUGACAUACGAGUGAUCCGCUGGUGAAUCACAGCUUUAAACCGCUCCAGUGUCCCAGUAUCUGUGGUUGCAUGGCACGCAGUAAACAUCGGUGAGUUCGGUUAAUCGAUGACCUUCAUGGCCAAUAGUCAUUUCUGUUAAGCAUGUGAACACAGUGGCAAAUCUGUGGUGUUUAAGAGCAUGUUCAACAGCGCUCAAAUGUUAGUGGGAAUGGACCUUUUUAAAAUUUCAGUAUCGUUUAGUAAUGAAUUCCAGUAUCGUGACAACUCGACUCACGUUAUUAGUGCCAUGUAAGCAU